This 407-nucleotide ribosomal RNA is filed under the name uncultured bacterium. RNAcentral's name for it is "partial 16S ribosomal RNA". It matches the Rfam family "Bacterial small subunit ribosomal RNA", at positions 30 to 526 of the family's 1533-position model. The record is from RNAcentral.
AUUGAACGCUGGCGGCAGGCCUAACACAUGCAAGUCGAGCGGAGCGGCGGACGGGUGAGUCAUGACUGGGAAGCUGCCUGGUCGUGGGGGAUACAGUCCGGAAACGGACGCUAAAACCGCAUACUAUCAGAUGAGCCUAGGUGGGUUGAGGUAGUUGGUGGGGGAAAGGCCUACCAAGGCGACGAUCCGUAACUGGUCUGAGAGGAUGAUCAUGCACACUGGAACGUGGACACGGUCCAGACUCCUACGGGAGGCAGCAGUGGGGAAUAUUGGACAAUGGGCGGAAGUCUGAUCCAGCCAUGCCGCGUGUGUGAAGAAGGUCCUCGGAUUGUAAAGCACUUUAAGUUGGGAGGCGUUACCGACAGAAUAAGCACCGGCUAACUUCGUGCCAGCAGCCGCGGUAAUAC